ACUGCCCAAUGACAUCGCCUGUUGCUCCGAAUCCUGCAUGAUUGACAGUGAGACGGGGCGGGCACAUGGAAAGGCCUCUCGGCCGUUGGUCGGAAAGGGGGCGGGACAUCGCGGGGGUCGGUCUUCGGGGGGAACGGAUCUCGCAGAGAGGCAGUGGAUGGUUCAAUUUGUUCGUCACACGCUCGAGUCGCUCGGAAGAAGAAACUUUUAUGAUCAGUUUCUAUGUUUACUGCACCCUCACCAACUUCUACAGAUGCACCAUUGAGAGCACACUUGUCCAGCUGCAUAACAACUUAGUAUGGCAACUGCAAUGCCCCGAACUGUAAGAAACUACAGGAGGCACAGCCCAGGCCAUCACGGGACCUAACCUUCCAACAAUGGACUCCAUUUAUACAGCCCGCUGCUGCUAAAAAGCUACCAACAUCAUCAAGACUCUUCGCACCCCAGUAACAAUCUCCUACAACCUGUUCCAUUAGGCAGAAGGUAACGAAGCGUGAACACACACAUCAGCAGGUUCAGGACAGCUUCUUCACGACCAUUAUUAGAGUAUUGAAUGAACUCUGUCGCCUCAAAUAAUACUUAUCUUGCUAGCAUUGAUCUCUUUUGUACACUCUGCAAUGUAUGCCUCUGUCUAAAUCUGUUUUCUUCUAUACAUGCUUGCUCACUAUGAUCUGCCUGUACUGUUUGUAGACAAAGUAUUUCACUAUACUUUGGUACACAUGACAAUAAAGCAAUCAAUCAUUCAAUUUC
Molecule: RNA transcript, 750 nt
Organism: Chiloscyllium plagiosum (whitespotted bambooshark)
Lineage: Eukaryota; Metazoa; Chordata; Chondrichthyes; Orectolobiformes; Hemiscylliidae
Source: RefSeq, a predicted model, not a curated record